This is a long non-coding RNA of Lolium rigidum, 434 nucleotides long. RefSeq lists it as uncharacterized. NCBI's taxonomy places the organism in Eukaryota, Viridiplantae, Streptophyta, Magnoliopsida, Poales, Poaceae. The record is from RefSeq and is a predicted model, not a curated record. The transcript has 4 exons.
GAUGUGGAUGGACUCUGCCUAGACCUUGGCCGUCUCCCCUGUCUUCCUCCUCUUUCGGUUGGCGGAGGUUUGUGGAUGAACCAUCCGAGUUGGUCAGUAGCUUCUACCGAAGGACAUCAUGCUCAGACCUCCCAAGCAUCAGAUGGAAACACUACAUGGACAGUAGGAAUAUUGCAAUGAAGUCGAUUGUUUGAAGAUGAUGGUGGAGCUCUAAACACUAUGCGUGCAAAUCUGAUGAAGAAUCUCACGGAAGAGUUUCAUGAAGGAGAACAAGGCAACAAUCACAUGAUUGAAAACUUGAUUGGUUAAUUAGGACAUGGUUAAUUAUUUCUGCAUCUUUCUUUCUUGAAAGGUGUAAUUUUUGCAGUGUUCAAAGUCAAACCGAACUGGUAAAUGCAUGCUUGUCUUGAAAGUCACAUACUCAAGUAUUGUAU